RNAcentral lists this non-coding RNA (28 nucleotides) under Homo sapiens (human). The record is from RNAcentral. Lineage: Eukaryota; Metazoa; Chordata; Mammalia; Primates; Hominidae.
UUCUCGCAGAGGGGGAUUUGGUAGUGUC